This 446-nucleotide ribosomal RNA is filed under the name uncultured bacterium. RNAcentral describes it as "bacterial SSU rRNA". It matches the Rfam family "Bacterial small subunit ribosomal RNA", at positions 217 to 662 of the family's 1533-position model. The record is from RNAcentral.
GGUAUGGGAUGAGCUUGCGUCCGAUUAGCUAGUUGGCGGGGCAACGGCCCACCAAGGCGACGAUCGGUAGCCGGCCUGAGAGGGUGAUCGGCCACAUUGGGACUGAGAUACGGCCCAGACUCCUACGGGAGGCAGCAGUAGGGAAUAUUGCACAAUGGGGGAAACCCUGAUGCAGCAACGCCACGUGUGGGAAGAAGCAUUUCGGUGUGUAAACCACUGUCAUGAUGGAAUAAGGCCCGCCUCCGGGCGGGAUUGAAUGUACCUUGAGAGGAAGCACCGGCAAACUUCGUGCCAGCAGCCGCGGUAAUACGAGGGGUGCAAGCGUUGUUCGGAAUUACUGGGCGUAAAGGGAGCGUAGGCGGAGAUUCAAGCGGAUUGUACAAUCCCGGGGCCCAACCCCGGCUCUGCAGUCCGAACUGGAUCUCUUGGAUAGUUCAGGGGCAGGC